UACGUAGGGGGCUAGCGUUGUCCGGAUUUAUUGGGCGUAAAGAGCUCGUAGGCGGUUUGUCGCGUCGACUGUGAAAACCCGGGGCUUAACCUCGGGCCUGCAGUCGAUACGGGCAGACUAGAGUUCGGUAGGGGAGACUGGAAUUCCUGGUGUAGCGGUGAAAUGCGCAGAUAUCAGGAGGAACACCGGUGGCGAAGGCGGGUCUCUGGGCCGAUACUGACGCUGAGGAGCGAAAGCGUGGGGAGCGAACAGG
RNAcentral lists this ribosomal RNA (253 nucleotides) under uncultured bacterium. RNAcentral's name for it is "partial 16S ribosomal RNA". It matches the Rfam family "Bacterial small subunit ribosomal RNA", at positions 524 to 776 of the family's 1533-position model. The record is from RNAcentral.